Molecule: ribosomal RNA, 492 nt
Filed under: uncultured bacterium
Lineage: Bacteria
Description: partial 16S ribosomal RNA
Rfam family: Bacterial small subunit ribosomal RNA
Source: RNAcentral
AAUGAACGCUGGCGGUAUGCCUAACACAUGCAAGUCGAACGGAAGCACACUAAGAUCGUGCGCUUACGGGUUGCGAGUGGCGGGCGUGUGACGAGUGCAUCGGGAUCUACUUUUUCGUGUAACAUAACGUAAGUAAGCUUACUCUAAGACCGCAUAUGAUCCACCGUGGAGGGCAUUGGAUCGUCUCGGCUUUCGCGGAUGAAUUAGCCGAUUACGGAGUAGCUGGUUGGCGGGGUAAAGGCCCACCAAGGCGACGAUCCGUAGCCGGACUGAGAGGCUGAUAGGCGACAUUGGAACUGAGCCAGGGUCCAGACUCCUGAGGGAGGCAGCAGUCGGGAAUAGUGGACAAUGGGGGGAAGCCUGACACAGUCAUCCCGAGUGGGUGACGAAGGCCCUCGGGUUGUAAAGACCUUUUGUUGGGUAAGAAAAGCAGUCGGUUGAGACGACGCUGUUGUGACGGUACCGAAUGAAGAAGCACCGGCUAACUACGUG